This 898-nucleotide ribosomal RNA is filed under the name uncultured archaeon. RNAcentral's name for it is "bacterial SSU rRNA". It matches the Rfam family "Archaeal small subunit ribosomal RNA", at positions 451 to 1348 of the family's 1478-position model. The record is from RNAcentral.
ACCGGUGCCAGCCGCCGCGGUAAUACCGGCGGCUCGAGUGGUGACCACUUUUAUUGGGCUUAAAGCGUUCGUAGCUUGAUUUUUAAGUCUCUUGGGAAAUCUCACGGCUUAACUGUGAGGCGUCUAAGAGAUACUGGGAAUCUGGGGACCGGGAGAGGUAAGAGGUACUUCAGGGGUAGAAGUGAAAUUCUGUAAUCCUUGAGGGACCACCGAUGGCGAAGGCAUCUUACCAGAACGGCUUCGACAGUGAGGAACGAAAGCUGGGGGAGCGAACGGGAUUAGAUACCCCGGUAGUCCCAGCCGUAAACUAUGCGCGUUAGGUGUGCCUGUAACUACGAGUUACCGGGGUGCCGAAGUGAAAACGUGAAACGUGCCGCCUGGGAAGUACGGUCGCAAGGCUGAAACUUAAAGGAAUUGGCGGGGGAGCACCACAACGGGUGGAGCCUGCGGUUUAAUUGGACUCAACGCCGGGCAGCUCACCGGAUAGGACAGCGGAAUGAUAGCCGGGCUGAAGACCUUGCUUGACCAGCUGAGAGGAGGUGCAUGGCCGUCGUCAGUUCGUACUGUGAAGCAUCCUGUUUAGUCAGGCAACGAGCGAGACCCACGCCAACAGUUGCUAGCAUGUUCUCCGGAAUGAUGAGGACACUGUUGGGACCGCCUCUGCUAAAGAAGAGGAAGGAAUGGGCGACGGUAGGUCAGCAUGCCCCGAAUUAUCCGGGCUACACGCGGGCUACAAUGGUCAGGACAAUGGGAAACGGCACUGAAAAGUGUAGUCAAUCUCCUAAACCUGUCCCAAGUUCGGAUUGUGGGCUGCAACUCGCCCACAUGAAGCUGGAAUCCGUAGUAAUCGCGUUUCAAAAUAGCGCGGUGAAUAAGUCCCUGCUCCUUGCACACACCG